UCAUAAAAGUGUUUAUUUUCUAA
Molecule: small nuclear RNA, 23 nt
Filed under: Arabidopsis thaliana (thale cress)
Lineage: Eukaryota; Viridiplantae; Streptophyta; Magnoliopsida; Brassicales; Brassicaceae
Description: snRNA_05443
Source: RNAcentral